Molecule: long non-coding RNA, 439 nt
Organism: Gavia stellata (red-throated loon)
Lineage: Eukaryota; Metazoa; Chordata; Aves; Gaviiformes; Gaviidae
Exons: 4
Source: RefSeq, a predicted model, not a curated record
CGCGCGGCGGCUGCAGGGGGACGUGAGGCCCGUGAGGUUGAUUCCAGCGAUGUGGAGUCUCACAGACGCUGCAAGGGGCUCGUAGUAACAGCUCUGCGCUUUUCUGGAUGUUCUGAUUAGCAAGACCUGCUGGGACAGAACAGGAGACUGCAAGUGAAAGGAGGAAUGACAAAGCAACAGUGGGCCUUGAGCGAUUCUUCACCAGAGUCCCAUCAGAAAGUGCCAUUUACUCAAAGGGAGAUGGUCCAUCUAACAUCAUCCGACUGCCCCAUGGAGGAGACUUCACUAGCAACUGGUGCAAAGAAGGUAUGGGAGAGCAGAGCACUGCUGACUGUGUCUACCUGACUGUGGUAGAUGUGUGCUGUGACCUUGCUGUAUCUACUAACCCUCGCUGGCCCAGCUUCAGCGGUGUUUAUAAAGCUCUUGCUGAGACACCUCA